RNAcentral lists this ribosomal RNA (337 nucleotides) under uncultured bacterium. RNAcentral's name for it is "bacterial SSU rRNA". It matches the Rfam family "Bacterial small subunit ribosomal RNA", at positions 8 to 354 of the family's 1533-position model. The record is from RNAcentral.
AGAGUUUGAUCAUGGCUCAGGAUGAACGCUGGCGGCGUGCCUAACACAUGCAAGUCGAGCGAUUCUCUUCGGAGAAGAGCGGCGGACGGGUGAGUAACGCGUGGGUAACCUGCCCUGUACACACGGAUAACAUACCGAAAGGUAUGCUAAUACGGGAUAACAUAAGAAAUUCGCAUGUUUUUCUUAUCAAAGCUCCGGCGGUACAGGAUGGACCCGCGUCUGAUUAGCUAGUUGGUGAGGUAACGGCUCACCAAGGCGACGAUCAGUAGCCGACCUGAGAGGGUGAUCGGCCACAUUGGAACUGAGACACGGUCCAAACUCCUACGGGAGGCAGCAG